Molecule: non-coding RNA, 42280 nt
Organism: Xyrichtys novacula (pearly razorfish)
Lineage: Eukaryota; Metazoa; Chordata; Actinopteri; Labriformes; Labridae
Source: the annotation of a GenBank genome assembly
GUUGAGCUUGAGUUUGUGGCGUGUUUUAACCUGAAUUUUUGUUGUUUUUCUUACUUGAGGCUUCGGCAAUUGUUAAACUUUAGAUUUGGGUGUUGGUUGAACUUAAAACUUUGACAUUUGUUGAACUUAUGUAUGUGGUGUUCAUUGAACUUCAGUUUGUGUCUUGUUUGAACUUGACUUUGUGGUGUUUUUGAACUUGAGUUGGUGGAAAUUGUUGAACUUGAGAAUUGGGUGUUGGUUGAACUUGAGUUUCUGGUGUUUUUGAACUUGAGUUUGAGUUUGUUUGUUUGUUGAACUUGAGUUCGUGGCGCGUUUGAACUUGAGUUUGUGUUCUUUUUGAACUUGAGGUUGUGGAAAUUGUUAAACUCGCCCUCCUCGAGCCAUCAUGAAGGCGGAGGUGGCGGGGGUAGAGCAGCAAUGAACAAAACCCCCCUGGAACAGGAGCGCUUUAAGGACAGCGGAGCAAUUAGCUGGCACGAGGGUGGAGCUGGUGUGGCAGUGUGUUGCUGGUUUGCUGUCAGAGCAGAGGAAGAGGCUGGGUUAGUGCAGUUUUAAAUAAGGCACUCUAUAGGCAAAGAACCAAUAGGAUCUAGGUGUGAAUCAGCUGAUUAUCAUCUGGUUGAGGUGGCUACUAGCCAUUGGCUGUGGAUCAGCGCUUGACGUUGUGUCCUGACAGAACUAACGCUAUGCUUCAUUUCAGUCAGGUACACUUUGUCCAAAUUUUUAGCUUUAUUGUGCAAGUUAGAUUUGGCGGCAUGAUUCUGUUCCGGGUCCCUGCCCUUCCACGCGCUUGUGUGGAAGCCCAAGGCAGGAAGAGCCCCUUCCUGCCUUUCACGAGCCAUCAUGAAAGGCGAUAGCAGGGAGCGCACGCGAGGUUCUGUUCAGGGCCCCCGUUCUCCACGUUGGCAGGGGUGAAAGGCCAGCGGCAGGAAGAGCACCUUCCCGCCCUCCACGUGCCAUCAUGAAGGCGGAGGAGGCAGGGGUAGAGCAGCAAUGAACAGAACCCCCCCAAAACAACCAUGCCGUGCAGUCUAGGAGCUAGCAGGGGAGGUGAGCGCUGCUGAAAGAAAGACGGGUUAGAGAGACCCGUUGCCCAAGCAUGGAUAUUUAUCUGCAGGUUGUUUAUAUAUUUCAUUUAAUUAGCAUCUAUGUGCCAAAGUUAUGGGUACUCAUAGUUUUUGGGCUUCGAGAAUGUCCCGAGCCUCGGGGCGCAGAUAGCGUUUGUACGCAGCUGACGACUAUUGGCCCAUGGCUUUGAGGGUCGACACAGGAGCCGUCAUAGCUCCGGUUGUAGCUACACCUAUGUGAAAGGAAUGAGCCGUGUAGCGAUCUGAAGGAUGUGUGGAGGGCGAUCAGCUAAGCUGUCAUCUGACUGAGGGCUAGCUUAAGAUCAGCUGGCUUUAACCUUUAGCUUGACUGUACCUUGUGUCCUGCCUGAACUACAGCCAUGCUUAAUUUCAGUCAGGACUACUUUAGUUAGAAUCAAUUAUUUAUUACUAGCAAAAAUUUUUUUAACAUUGUCGGUAUGGCUCUGUUCUGAGAGUUCCCUGCUCUCUCAUGCGCUUGCAUAGAAUCCCAAGGCAAUGAGAGGGAAUGCCCUCCCCUCCCUUUCAUGUGCAUAUAUGAAAAGCCAAGGCAGAAAAAGCAGCAGCCAUACUGGCAACCCUCCCCAGCUUUCAUGAGCUACAUGAAGGCACCUACAGGGGAGGGAGGGCAGCCAGCAGCGAGAAACUAUGAAGCAACCUACCCACCUACAAAGCUUGCAUAGUAUUGGUUACCCUCACAACAUGAUCAUGGAUCAGGAUUAAUUUAAUCCAUACACAAAUUUAUAGUUGGGAAUAUGCGUAAUGCAAUAGAUAUGGGAAAGAAUUAAGGAGCAGCAGCAAUUUUUUUUUUGUAGCUAAUCGAGCAUAGGAAUAUUCUAAUAAUAAUAAUAUAUUAGCCUUGGGCCUGAGGUAUCAUUCAAAGGCUGAUCGGGACCAUUGACCCGUAGCCUUGAGCGUCGAGACGGGGACGAUGGAAGAUGCAGUUGUAGCUGUGCCUAUGCGUGGUGAAUGCGUAGAGUUGUACUCAGGUAGGAGCCAACAGGAUUGGCAGAGCAGGCAGAGGUGAGCAGAAAGCUGCAAUCUGGAUAUAGGUUUCCCUUCUUCAGUGGCAAAGAGAGACUCUUGCUGGCUGGCCAGUGGCCGGCCUCUCAGGCAGCGGGACAUGGAGGAUAAAGAACAAAGACAGAGUUAGUUUUGGAAAUAUUAGAAAAAAAAAGAAAAGUGCGAGAUUCAAAACUGUGGACUAUUAAAGCACAUACAAUGGAUAUAUUUAGGGCGUUGGGGCUACAGAGAAGGUGGUACAAAAGAGGUAAAGUGAGACCAUGCAGAAUCGUAUAAACUUUAAUGCUGAUUUUGCUUAACCAGCUCUCAAGUAGCUGUCAACAGAGAGCACUAAGGAUUGCAAGGCUGCACUCAGACUAACACAGUCUGAAUGAAUGGCUUCACGAACAGCCGUUGGGAUGCUUUGCCAGUGCCUUCCCCGGCUCAAGGACAUUUGACAGAGUAGACAGCUUUGUUCUUUCCCGUUUUACCAGGUGGGUGCGUCAUGGGCAUGCUGAUUUCAGAUGCCCGUCCCUGGAGUAACUUGGCUUCUCCGAGUAGUAGGCUUAGAGAGGCUUGGGUGGUUGGCAUGUAGCCACAGUUUUAGGGCACCGAUUAGAGGUGUGGGCAGGGGUGGACAAGGUAGGAUAAGGUUCCUCCAGGUACUGUACCCGUAGACUUUGUACAAGAGGAGCACACCCAAGUUAAGCGAGUUGCUGACUCCGAUGCCACAGUAUCAUCAUCUGCUGUAUCUCUCUCUUAAACAUAAAAUUAUUAUUAUUAUUAUUAUUAUUAUUAUUAUUUUCCUCUGCAUUUUGUCUUAUUUCUGCAUUAAGAUUGAAGCAGCUGACUCUUUAAAAGUUCCCUCCUUCUGCAAAAGGCGGAAGGCGGGCCCCUGCACCUAGGCAACCAGCGUCCAAUCAAAAGUGCGCACUGGUGCUCCCACUUGGAGUUUAUUUGUAAGCAAAUACCACUCACUCUCAAGCGGCAUGGUCCUAUUGGAUUACUUCGGUUAUAACGCAGAGUGCAGACUGAUGUGCAGCAACAGACUAAGCCUAGAUACAUGACAGGGGUGAAAACUUUAAACAGCUGAUUAUGUCUUCCCGAAAUGGCGUACUGCUGCGUAAUGGCUUACUUUCACCUCCAGGUGAGAGAAAGACCCGCAGAUUAAGCAGGAAAAAGCUUGAUGCUCGGUGAAUUGUUAACUGAUUAGAGCCAGGUCGACUACGGACUGAUCAAGUCUUUGGCUGAAUCUUUGAAUGUACUUAGCAGCUUUGCUGAAAAUGAUUUGUAAUGUUCCUAGAAUAAUGAUCCUCCCUAUGUCAUGGCUGAAUCAGAAAUAAUGGCGAGAUAUGUGUCCAGUUCAGUUCUGCGUGCUGAAAACACUUUACAUAUGACAUCUACAAAUACGCUGAAAGCUAUGAAUUCAGCCAAGGUCGGAGAUUUAAACAGCCGGGCAUCACGAUAUUUAAGCAUCACAGGCUCAUCUCCGCAAUCCACAAUGCGUCUAUCAUUGUAGUCUGAGCACAGCAAGACUAAUGUCAGUACCUGCAAGGAUUUGGCUCCGCGGAUUAGGUGUAAUUGCAGCCGCGACCAGGUCGCGUCGCGUGGUGCUCUGGUGUGUUCACACCGGGUCCAAAGCUGCGGUCGCAGGACACGGCUGGUCGCUGCUGACCCGCUUCUCCUACCUUCCAUCUCCCUCCUUUUCUCCCUCAUAUAUACAUCCCGCAGCCCAGUUCAAAUAUUUGAACUUUGGUAGCGACGAGACUUGGCGUCCUGCGAACGCGGAAACGCAACUUCGGCAACGCAACUUCGGCAACGCGACGCAGGUAGCCAGCGGUCGCCAAGUCGCGUCAGGUCGCGGCUGUCCAUAGACUUUGCAUUGGGAGCCAUCGCCGACGUCACCGAAGUCGCGUUUGGUCUGAACACCCCUUAACGCUAAGCUUCAUAUUUGGGUAUUGGUUGACUUGAGUUUCUGUGUUUGUUGAACUUGAGUUUGUGACAUGUUUGAACUUGAAUUUGUGGUGUUUUUGAACUUGAGUUUGUGUGUUUGUUGAACUUGAGUUUUAGGCGUGUUUGAACUUGAGUUUGUGUUGUUUUUGAACUUGAGGUUUUGGCAAAUGUUAAACUUGAGAUUUGGGUGUUGGUUGAACUUGAGUUUGUGUCGUAAUUGAACUUGAUUUUUUUGCAAUUUUUGAACUUGAGUUUGUUGAACUUGAGGUUGUGGAAAUUGUUAAACUUGAGAAUUGGGUAUUGAUUGAACUUGAGUUUGUGUGUUUGUUGAACUUCAGUUUGUCUCGUGUUUGAACUUGAGUUUCUGUUGUUUUUGAACUUGAGGUUGUGGCAAUUGUUAAACUUGAGAUUUGGGUGUUGGUUGAACUUGAGUUUGUGUCAUGUUUGAACUUGAGUUUGUGGUGUUUUUGAACUUGAGUAUGUGUGGUUUUUUAACUUAGUUUUGUGGCAAUUGUUAAACUUGAGAUUUGGGUGUUGGUUGAACUUGGGUUUGUGGUGUUUUUGAACUUGAGUUUGUGUCUUUGUUGAACUUGAGUUUGUGGCGUGUUUUAACUUGAGUUUCUGUUGUUUUUGAACUUGAGGUUGUGGCAAUUGUUGAACUUGAGAUUUGGGUGUUGGUUGAACUUGAGUUUGUGUGGUUUUUUAACUUAGUUUUGUGGCAAUUGUUAAACUUGAGAUUUGGGUGUUGGUUGAACUUGGGUUUGUGGUGUUUUUGAACUUGAGGGUGUGGAAUAUGUUAUAUUGAGAAAUUGGUAUUGGUUGAACUUGAGUUUUUGGUGUUUUUGAACUUGAGUUUUUGGAAAUUGUUAAACUUGAGAAUCAGGUGUUUGAUGAACUUGAGUUAGUGUUUGUUGAACUUGAGUUUGUGUCGUGUUGGAACUUUGUCUCGUGUUGUUUUUUGAAUUGAGUUUGUGUGUUUUUUGAACUUGAGGUUGUGAAAAUUUUUAAACUUGAGAAUCAGGUAAUGGUUGAACUUGAGUUUGUGGUUUUUGUUGAACAUGAGUUUGUCUCGUUUUUGAACUUGAUUUUUGGUGUUUUUGAACUUGAGCAUGUGUUGUUUUUGAACUUGAGAUUGUGGAAAUUGUUAAACUUGAGAAUUGGGUAUUGGUUGAACUUGAUUUUUUUGUGUUUUGAACUUGAGUUUGUGUCGUGUUUGAACUUGAGUUUGUAGCGUGUUUGACCAUGAGUUUGUGUUGUUUUUGAACUUGAGUUUUUGUGUUCGUUGAACUUGAGUGUGUUUCAUGUUUGAGCUUGAGAUUGUGGUGUUUUUGAACUUGAGUUAGUGUGUUUGUUGAACUUGAUUUUGUGUUGUGUUUGAACUUUAGUUUGUGGCGUUUUUUGAGCUUGAUUUUGUGUCGUGUUUGAACUUGAGUUUGUUGGUUUUUUUGAACUUGAGUUUGUGUCGUGUUUGAACUUGAGAUUGUGUGUGUUUUGAACUUGAGUUUGUGUGGUUUUUGAACUUGAGUUUGUUUCGUGUUUGAACUUGAGUUUGUGGCGUUUGUUGAAUUUGAGUUUGUGUCAUGUUUGAACUUGAGUUUGUGGUGUUUUUGAACUUGAAUUUGCCUGUUUGGUUAACUUGAGUUUCUGUUGUUUUUGAACUUGAGGUUGUGGAAAUUGUUAAACUUGAGAAUCAGGUGUUGGUUGAACUUGAGUUUGUGUGUUUGUUGAACUUGAGUUUUUGGUGUUUUUGAACUUGAGGUUGUUGAAAUUGUUAAACUUGAGAAUUGGGUAUUGGUUGAACUUGAGUUUGUGAUUUUGUUGAACUUGAGUUUGGUUCGUGUUUUAACUUGAGUUUGUGAUGUUUUUGAAUUUGAGUUUGUGGUGUUUUUGAACUUGAGUUUGUGUUGUGUUUGAACUUGAGUUUGUGGUGUUUUUGAACUUGAGUUUGUGUGUUGGUUGAACUUGAGUUGCGUGUUUGGUGAACUUGAGUUUUUGUGUUUUUUGAACUUGAAUUUCUGUUGUUUUUGUACUUGAGGUUCUGGAAAAAAUUUAAACUUGAGAAUCAGGUGUUGGUUGAACUUGAGUUAGUGUGUUUGUAGAACUUGAGUUUUUUGUCGUGUUUGAACUUGAGUUUGUGGUGUUUUUGAACUUGAGGUUUUGUGUUUGUUGAACUUGAGUUUGUUUUGUGUUUGAACUUGAGAUUGUGGUGUUUUUGAACUUGAGUUAGUGUGUUUGUUGAACUUGAGUUUGUUUUUUGUUUGAUCUUUCGUUUGUGGCGUUUGUUGAGCUUUAUUUUGUGUCGUGUUGGAACUAGAGUUUGUGGUUUUUGUUGAACUUGAGUUUGUGUCGUGUUUGAACUUGAGUUUGUUUCGUGUUUGAACUUGAGUUUGUGGCGUUUGUUGAAUUUGAGUUUUUGUCAUGUUUGAACUUGAGUUUGUGGUGUUUUUGAACUUGAAUUUGGGUGUUUGGUUAACUUGGGUUUUUGUGUUUUUUGAACUUAGGUUUCUGUUGUUUUUGAACUUGAGGUUGUGGAAAUUGUUAAACUUGAGAUCAGGUGUUGGUUGAACUUGAGAUUUGUGUUUUUUUGAACUUGAGUUUGUGGUUUGUUAAACUUGAGAUUGGUGUUGGUUGAACUUGAGAUUGUGCGUUUUUUGAACUUCAGUUUGUAUCGUGUUUUAACUUGAGUUUGUGUGUUUGUUGAACUUGAGAAUUGGGUAUUGGUUGAACUUUAGUUUUUGAUUUUUUUGAACUUCAGUUUGUAUCGUGUUUUAACUUGAGUUUGUGUGUUUGUUGAACUUGAGUUUGUGUGUUUAUUGAACUUGAGUUUGUGUUGUGUUUGAACUUGAGUUUGUGGUGUUUUUGAAUUUAACGUUGUGGCAAUUUUUAAACUUCAGAUUUGGGAAUUGGUUGAACUUGAGUUAUGUGUUUGUUGAACUUGAGUUUGUGUCGUGUUUGAACGUGAGUUUGUUGUGUUUUUUAACUUGAGGUGGUUUCAUGUUUGAACUUGAGUUUGUUGCGUUUGUUGAACUUGAGUUUGUGGUGUUUGUUGAACUUGAGUUUGUGGUUUUUGUUGAACUUGAGUUUGUGUCGUGUUUGAACUUGAGUUUGUGUGUUUUUUAACUUGAGUUGUUUGUUUCGUGUUUGAACUUGAGUUUGUGGUGUUUGUUGAACUUGAGUUUGUGUGGUGUUUGAACUUGAGUUUGUGGUGUUUUACCACUUGAGUUUGUGGUGUUUUUGAACUUGAGUUUUUGUGUUUUGAACUUGAGUUUGUUUUGUGUUUGAACUUGAGAUUGUGGUGUUUUUGAACUUGAGUUAGUGUGUUUGUUGAACUUGAGUUUGUGUUGUUUGAACUUUAGUUUGUGGCAUUUGUUGAGCUUGAUUUUGUGUCGUGUUUGAACUUGAGUUUGUGGUUUUUGUUGAACUUGAGUUUGUGUCGGUUUGAACUAGAGUUUGUGUGUUUUUUGAACUUGAGUUUGUGUGGUUUUUGAACUUGAGUUUGUUUCGUGUUUGAACUUGAGUUUGUGGUGUUUUUGAACUUGAAUUUGCUUGUUUGGUUAACUUGAGUUUGUGUUUUUUGAACUUAGGUUUCUGUUGUUUUUGAACUUGAGGUUGUGGAAAUUGUUAAAUUUGAGAAUCAGGUGUUGGUUGAACUUGAGUUUGUGUCGUGUUUUUGAACUUGAGUUUUUGUCGUGUUUUUGAACUUGAGGGUGUGGAAUUUGUUAAACUUGAGAAUUGGGUAUUGGUUGAACUUAAGUUUGUGUGUUUGUUGAACUUGAGUUUGUGUCAUGUUUGAACUUGAGUUUGUGGUCUUUUUGAACUUGAGUUUGUGUGUUUGUUGAACUUGAGUUGUGGCGUUUGUUGAACUUAGGUUGUGGCAAUUGUUAAACUUAAGAUUUGGUUGUUGGUUGAACUUGAGUUUGUGUCGUGUUUGAACUUGAGUUCGUGUUGUUUGUUGAACUUGAAUUUGUGUGUUUUUUGAACUUAAUUUUUUUGAACUUGAGUUUGUGGCAAUUGUUGAACUUGAGUCUGUGGUUUUUGGUGAACUUUAAUUGGUGGCAAUUGUUGAACUUGAGUUUGUGGUGUAUUUGAACUUGAGUUUGUUUCGUGUUUGAACUUUGUUUGUGGUGUUUUUGAACUUGAGUUUUUGGUGUUUUUGAACUUGAGGGUGUGUUGUGUUUUUGAACUUGAGUUUGUGGUGUUUUUGAACUUGAGGUUGUUUCGUGUUUGAACUUGAGUUUGUGGCGUUUGUUGAACUCUAGGUUGUGGCAAUUGUUGAACUUGAGAUUUGGGUGUUGGUUCAACUUAAAAGUUUGGCAUUUGUUGAACUUGAGUUUGUGUGUUUGUUGAACUUAAGUUUGUGUCUUGUUUGAACUUGAGUUUGUGGUGUUUUCAAACUUGAGUUUGUGUGUUUUUUGAACUUUAGUUUUUGGUGUCUUUGAACUUGAGUUUGUGGUGUUUUUGAACUUGAGUUUGAAUCGUGGUUGAACUUGAGUUUGUGGUGUUUUUGAACUUAAGUUUGUGGUUUUUUUGAACUUGAGGUGUUGGAAAUUGUGAAACUUGAGAAUUGGGUAUUGGUUGAACUUGAGUUUGUGUGUUUGUUGAACAAGAGAUUGUGUUGUGUUUUAACUUCAGUUUGUGGAGUUUUUAAGCUUGAGGUUGUGCUGUUUUUGAACUUGAUUUUGUUGUGUUUUGUACUUGAGUUUGUGUUAUUUUUCAACUUGAGGUUGUGGAACUUGUUAAACUUGAGAAUCAGGUGUUGAUUGAACUUGAGUAUUUUUUUUUUAACUUGAGUUUGUGUCGUGUUUGAGCUCGAGUUUGUGGUGUUUUUGAAUUUGAGUUUGCGUGUUUGUUAAACUUGAGUUUGUGUUUUUUUUUAACUUGAGUUUGUUGUUUCUGAACUUGAGUUUGUGGCAAUUGUUGAACUUGAGUUUGACAUUUGUUGAACUUGGGUUUGUGGUUUUUGUUGAACUUGAGUUUGUGGUGUUUUUGAACUUGAGGUUGUGGAAUUUGUUAAACUUGAGAAUUUGGUAUUGGUUGAACUUGAGUUUGUGUGUUUGUUGAACUUGAGUUUGUGUCGUGUUUGAACUUUGGUUUGUGGUGUUUUUUUGAGCCUGAGGUUGUGGUGUUUUUGAACUUGAGUUUGUGUUGCUUUUGAACUUUAGGUUGUGGCAAUUUCUAAAAUUGAGAUUUGGGUGUUGGUUGAACUUAAAAGUUUUUCAUUUGUUGAACUUGAGUUUGUGGUUUUUGUUGAACUUGAGUUUGUUUCGUGUUUGAACUUGAGGUUGUGGUGUUUUUGAACUUGAGGUUUCUUGUUUGUUUAACUUGAGUUUGUGUGUUUUUUGAACUUGAGUUUGUUGUUUCUGAACUUGAGGUUUUGGCAAUUGUUGAACUUGAGUCUGUGGUUUUUAGUGAACUUUAGUUGGUUGCAAUUGUUGAACAUGAGUUUAUGGCGUUUGUUGAACUUGAGUUUGUGACGUGUUUGAACUUGAGGUUGUGGUGUUUUUGAACUCGAGUUUUUGUGUUUGUUGAACUUCAGUUUUUGGCGUGUUUGAACUUGAGUUUGUGGUUUUUUUAACUUGAGGUUGUGGUUUUUUGAACUUAAGUUUGUGGAAAUUUUUAAACUUGAGGAUUGGGUGGUGGUUGAACUUGAGUUUGUGGUGUUUUUUGAACUUGAGGUUGUGGUGUUUUUGACUUGAGUUCGUAGCGUGUUUGAACUUGAGGUUGUUGCAAUUGUUAAACUUGAGAUUUGGGUGUUGGUUGAACUUAAAACUUUGCCAUUUGUUGAACUUGAGUUUGUGGUGUAUGUUGAACUCCAGCUUGUGUUGUGUUUGAACUUGAGGUUGUGGUAUUUUUUAAUUGAGUUUGUGGCAGUUUUUGAACUUGAGGUUGUGAAAAUUGUUAAAACUUGAGAAUCAGGUGUUGGUUGAACUUGAGUUUGUGGUUUUUUUGAACUUGAGUUUGUGGUUUUUGUUGAACUUGAGUUUAUGUCGUUUUUGAGCUUGAGGUUGUGGUGUUUUUAAACUUGAGUUUGCGUGUUUGUUGAUCUUGAGUUUGUGUGUUUUUUGAACUUGAGUUUCUUGUUUCUGAACUUGAGGUUUUGGCAAUUAUUGAACUUGAGUCUGUUGUUUUUAGUGAACUUUAGUUGGUGGCAAUUGUUGAACUUGAGUUUGUGGCAUUUGUUAAACUUGAGUUUGUGACGUGUUUAAACAUGAUUUUGUGGUGUUUUUGAACUCGAGUUGUUGGUGUUUUUGAACUUGAGGUUGUGGAAAUUGUUAAACUUGAGAAUUGGGUAUUGGUUGAACUUGAGUUUGUGUGUUUGUUGAACUUGAGUUUUUGUCGUGUUUGAACUUGAGUUUGUGGUGUUUUUGAACUUGAGUUUGGUGUUUUUGAACUUGAGUUUGUGGCGGUUUUUGAACUUGAGGUUGUGGCAAUUGUUGAACUUGAGUUUGUGACGUGUUUGAACUUGAUUUUGUGGUGUUUUUGAACUUGAGUUCGUGGUGUUUGUGGAAUUUGAGUUUGUGUCGUGUUUGAACUUGAGGUUGUGGUGUUUUUGAACUCGAGUUUUUGUGUUUGUUGAACUUCAGUUUGUGUCCAGUUUUAACUUGAGUUUGUGGCAUUUGUUAAACUUGAGUUUGUGACGUGUUUAAACAUGAUUUUGUGGUGUUUUUGAACUCGAGUUUGUGGUGUUUUUGAACUUGAGGUUGUGGAAAAACGUAAACUUGAGAUUUGGGUGUUGAUUGAACUUGAGUUUGUUUCGUGUUUGAUCUUGAGGUUGUGGUGUUUUUGAACUUGAGGUUUCUUGUUUGUUUAACUUGAGUUUGUGUGUUUUUUGAACUUGAGUUUGUUGUUUCUGAACUUGAGGUUUUGGCAAUUGUUGAACUUGAUAAUUGGGUAUUGGUUGAACUUGAGUUUGUGUGUUUGUUGAACUUGAGUUUGUGUCGUGUUUGAACUUCAGUUUGUGGUGUUUUUUGAACUUGAGGUUGUGGUGUUUUUGAACUUGAGUUUUUGGUGUUUUUGAACUUGAGGUUGUGGCAAUUGUUGAACUUGAGUGUGUGACGUGUUUGAACUUGAUUUUGUGGUGUUUUUGAACUCGAGUUUGUGUUGUUUUUGAACUUGAGUUUGUGGUGUUUGUUGAACUUGAGUUUGUGGUGUUUUUGAACUCGAGUUUUUGUGUUUGUUGAACUUCAGUUUGUGUCGUGUUUGAACUUGAGUUUGUGGUGUUUUUUGAACUUGAGGUUGUGGUGUUUUUGAACUUGAGUUUGUGGCGGUUUUUGAACUUGAGGUUGUUGCAAUUGUUGAACUUGAAAUAAAAACCCAAAUAUGAACCCAAAUAUAUAUUUUUUCUUUUUACAUUUUUUUUGGUGUAACCAACUCCAAAAGGUCUUAAACAUGUUCCUAAAAAUGUUUUGGACAGUGAUAUUAAACCUAACGCCAAAAACCUUAAACCUUACCCUAGCCCCAUAACCUAAUACACGGGUAUUACCUUCAGGAAGCCCAAAAACCCCAAAUAUUUUUUUUUCAUUUUUCAUUUUUUUUUGGUCUAACUAACUCCAAAAGGUUGGAAAAGAGGUCCUACAAAGGUUUUGGACAGUGAUUUUAACCCUCACGCCAAAAACCUUAAACCUUACUAUAGCCCCAUAAACUAAUACCCGGGUAUUACCUUCAGAAGCCCAAAAACCCCAAAUAUUUUUUUUUUAUUUUUCGUUAGUUUUUGCUCUAACUAACUCCAAAAGGUUGGAAAAGAGUUCCUACAAAGGUCUUGGACAGUGAUUUUAACCCUAACGCCAAAAACCUUAAACCUUACCCUAGCCCCAAAACCUAAUACCCGGGUAUUACCUUCAGAAGCCCAAAAACCCCAAAUAUUUUUUUUUUAUUUUUCGUUAGUUUUUGCUCUAACUAACUCCAAAAGGUUGGAAAAGAGUUCCUACAAAGGUUUUGGACAGUGAUUUUAACCCUAACACCAAAAACCUUAAACCUUACCCUAGCCCCAUAACCUUCAGGAAGCCCGAACACCCCAAAUAUUUUUUUUUUCAUUUUACAUUUUUUUUUGGUGUAACCAACUCCAAAAGGUCUUAAACAUGUUCCUAAAAAGGUUUUGGACACUGAUUUUAACUCUAACGCCAAAAACCUUAAACCUUACCCUAGCCCCAUAACCUAAUACCCAGGUAUUACCUUCAGGAAACCCGAACACCCCAAAUAUAUUUUUUUUCUUUUUCUUUUUUUUUUUGUCUUACUAACUCCCAAAGGUCUGAAACAUGUUCCUUAAAAAAUAUUGGACAGUUAUUUUAACCCUAACGCCAAAAACCUUAAACCUUACCCCCAGCCCCAUAACCUAAUACCCGGGUAUUACCUUCAGGAAGCCCGAACACCCCAAAUAUAUAUUUUUUAUUUUUCUUUUUGUUUUGGUUUAACUUGCUCUCAAAGGUUGGAAAAGAGUUCCUACAAAGGUUUGGGACAUUGAUUUUAACCCUAACGCCAAAAACCUUAAACCUUACCUUAGCCCCAUAACCUAAUACCCAGGUAUUACCUUCAGGAAACCCGAACACCCCAAAUAUAUUUUUUUUCUUUUUCUUUUUUUUUUGUCUUACUAACUCCCAAAGGUCUGAAACAUGUUCCUUAAAAAAUAUUGGACAGUUAUUUUAACCCUAACGCCAAAAACCUUAAACCUAACCCUAGCCCCUUAACCUCAUACCCGGGUAUUACCUUCAGGAAGCCCGAACACCCCAAAUAUUUUUUUUUCAUUUAUCUAAUUUUUUUUGUCUAACUUAUUCCCAAAGGUUGGAAAAGAGUUCCUACAAAGGUUUUGGACAGUGAUUUUUACCCUCACGCCGAAAAACCUUAAACCUUUCCCUAGCCCCAUAACCUAAUACCCGGGUAUUACCUUCAGGAAGCCCGAACAACCCAAAUAUAUAUUUUUUACUUUUCUUUUUGUUUUGGUCUAACUUGCUCUCAAAGGUUGGAAAAGAGUUCCUACAAAGGUUUUGGACAUUGAUUGUAACCCUAACGCCAAAAACCUUAAACAUUACCCUAGCCCAGAAACCUAGUAUUACCUUCAGGAAGCCCGAAGACCCCAAAUAUAUUUUUUUCUUUUUUCUUUUUUUUUGGUCUAACUAACUCCAAAAGGUUGGAAAAGAGUUCCUACAAGGGUUUUGGACGGUGAUUUUAACCCUAACACCAAAAACCUUAAACCUUACCCUAGCCCCAAAACCUAAUACCCGGGUAUUACCUUCAGGAAGCCCGAACACCCCAAAUAUUUUUUUUUUCAUUUUACAUUUUUUUUGGUGUAACCAACUCCAAAAGGUCUUAAACAUGUUCCUAAAAAGGUUUUGGACACUGAUUUUAACUCUAACGCCAAAAACCUUAAACCUUACCCUAGCCCCAUAACCUAAUACCCGGGUAUUACCUUCAGGAAGCCCGAACACCCCAAAUUUUUUUUUCUUUUUUUUUUUUUUUUUGUCUAACUAACUCCCAAAGGUCUGAAACAUGUUCCUUAAAAAAUAUUGGACAGUGAUUUUAACCCUAACACCAAAAACCUUAAACCUAACCCUAGCCCCAAAACCUAAUACCCGGGUAUUACCUUCAGGAAGCCCGAAAACCCCAAAUAUUUUUUUUCAUUUUUCGUUUUUUUUUUGGUCUAACUAACUCCAAAAGGUUGGAAAAUAGUUCCUACAAAGGUUUUGGACAGUGAUUUUAACCCUAACGCCAAAAACCUUAAACCUUACCCUAGCCCCAAAACCUAAUACCCGGGUAUUACCUUCAGGAAGCCCGAAGACCCCAAAUAUAUUUUUUUCUUUUUUCUUUUUUUUUAGUCUAACUAACUCCAAAAGGUCGGAAAAGAGUUCCUACAAAGGUUUUGGACAGUGAUUCUAACCCUAACACCAAAAACCUUAAACCUUACCCUAGCCCCAUAACCUAAUACCCGGGUAUUACCUUCAGGAAACCCGAACACCCCAAAUAUAUUUUUUUUCUUUUUCUUUUUUUUUUGUCUAACUAACUCCCAAAGGUCUGAAACAUGUUCCUUAAAAAAUAUUGUACAGUUAUUUUAACCCUAACGCCAAAAACCUUAAACCUAACCCUAGCCCCAUAACCUCAUACCCGGGUAUUACCUUCAGGAAGCCCGAACACCCCAAAUAUCUUUUUUUCAUUUAUCUUUUUUUUUUGUCUAACUAAUUCCCAAAGGUUGGAAAAGAGUUCCUACAAAGGUUUUGGACAGUGAUUUUUACCCUCACGCCGAAAAACCUUAAACCUUACCCUAGCCCCAUAACCUAAUACUAGUGAUGCACGAUAUGAAAAAUUUCAACCGAUACCGAUAACCGAUAAUUUUCUUCUUCUCAUGGCCGAUACCGAUACCGAUACCGAUACCGAUAACCGAUAAAUUCAUAUUUUUACAUUUAUUAUAAUCUUCAUAUAAUCUGCAGUUUGUGCAGGAUGCAGCGAUUGAAAACUGAUCUUUUUGUUGCUCUGGCCUAUCUAGAACAACAAACAAAAGUUUUUGGCUCUUCAAAUGUGGUCAUUUGCUAUAAAUAACAAUAACAGAGCAAAAAGCAGAACUUCAUUUGAUCCCCUGAACGGUUCAACAGAACUGUAAACUGUAAAGGAGCUAUUAUGAGACGUUAGGCUUAGCAUGCUGACCUGACUAACAUCUGACGUCCAUAUGUCUGUGGUAAAACUCACGUGUAGUCCAUUCUUGUCGAUCAGGUUGUGAAUGUAUGUGGCGACAAUAUCAUAGAGUGCAGGAAGAGACACAUCCGAGAAGAAGCGGCGGCUUGGGAGAGUGUAACGUGGCUCCAAGUGUGCUAUGAACUUACGAAAACCCGGGUUCUCAACGACGGAAAAAGGCUGGUCGUCGACCGCUAUGAACUCCAUCACUUUGUCAUUAAUGGCUUUAGCCUUUUCGCUGUCUCUUGAGAAGCUUUUGCAGUUUUUAAACGCCCGCUGAAUGGGGACAUCGAUCCUCCGUAGUGUUGUUGUCUUAGCUUUAGUACCGCUAGCAGCUUCGGCGGCUGUCUCAUAUUCUUUUAUUACCGCUUCGCCGCGAUGGCGACUUUUCAGAUGAGCUAUCAGAUUCGCUGUGUUAAUACUUGACGUCUUCUUUCCUCCUCUCGGAAUCCUCGCUGAACAGGUUUUGCAUAUAGCAAUGCUGUUGUCAUCUUCUGCCACUGAGAGAAACGACCAUGCUGGUGAAGACAUUUUAUUAUCUGUCAGGUAGUGACGGGGUCAGGCUUGGGACCUGCGAGUAAGGCGCGAUAGAUGACGUAACCAGCGCGUCUCGGACGGGCGGCUACUCCGCCUGCAAAUGUUACUCGUAAUUUCAUUAAUAUAUCGGAUCUUUCUAUCGGAAAAAUGCACCUAUCGGACCGAUAAAAAAUGACGUAAUUUCCCCCCAAAUCGGCCGAUAUUUUAUCGGUCCGAUAAAUAUCGUGCAUCCCUACCUAAUACCCGGGUAUUACCUUCAGGAAGCCCGAACACCCCAAAUAUAUAUUUUUUCAUUUUACAUUUUUUUUGGUGUAACCAACUCCAAAAGGUUGGAAAAGAGUUCCUACAAAGGUUUUGGACAGUGAUUUUAACCCUAACGCCAAAAACCUUAAACCUUACCCUAGCCCCAAAACCUAGUAUUACCUUCAGGAAGCCCGAAACCCCAAAUAUUUUUUUUUUCAUUUUUCAUUUUUUUUUGGUCUAACUAACUCCAAAAGGUCUGAAACAUGUUCCUAAAAAGGUUUUGGACAGUGAUUUUAACCCUAACGCCAAAAACCUUAAACCUUACCCUAGCCCCAUAACCUAAUACCCGGGUAUUACCUUCAGGAAGCCCGAACACCCCAAAUAUUUUUUUUUUAUUUUUUUUUUUUUUGUCUAACUAACUCCAAAAGGUUGGAAAAGACUUCCUACAAAGGUUUUGGACAGUGAUUUUAACCCUCACGCCAAAAACCUUAAACCUUACCCUAGCCCCAUAACCUAAUACCCGGGUAUUACCUUCAGGAAGCCCGAACACCCCAAAUAUAUAUUUUUUCUUUUUACAUUUUUUUUGGUGUAACCAACUCCAAAAGGUCUUAAACAUGUUCCUAAAAAGGUUUUGGACAGUGAUUUUAACCCUAACGCCAAAAACCUUAAACCUUACCCUAGCCCCAUAACCUAAUACCCGGGUAUUACCUUCAGGAAGCCCAAAAACCCCAAAUAUUUUUUUUUCAUUUUUCGUUUUUUUUUGGUCUAACUAACUCCAAAAGGUUGGAAAAGAGUUCCUACAAAGGUUUUGGACAGUGAUUUUAACCCUAACGCCAAAAACCUUAAACCUUACCCUAGCCCCAUAACCUAAUACCCGGGUAUUACCUUCAGGAAGCCCGAAGACCCCAAAUAUAUUUUUUUCAUUUUUCUUUUUUUUGUGGUCUAACUAACUCCAAAAGGUUGGAAAAGAGUUCCUACAAAGGUUUUGGACAGUGAUUUUAACCCUAACGCCAAAAACCUUAAACCUUACCCUAGCCCCAUAACCUCAUACCCGGGUAUUUCCUUCAGGAAGCCCGAAGACCCCAAAUAUAUUUUUUUCUUUUUUCUUUUUUUUUGGUCUAACUAACUCCAAAAGGUCGGAAAAGAGUUCCUACAAAGGUUUUGGACGGUGAUUUUAACCCUAACGCCAAAAACCUUAAACCUUACCCUAGCCCCAAAACCUAAUACCCGGGUAUUACCUUCAGGAAGCCCGAACACCCCAAAUAUUUUUUUUUUCAUUUUACAUUUUUUUUGGUGUAACCAACUCCAAAAGGUCUUAAACAUGUUCCUAAAAAGGUUUUGGACACUGAUUUUAACUCUAACGCCAAAAACCUUAAACCUUACCCUAGCCCCAUAACCUAAUACCCGGGUAUUACCUUCAGGAAGCCCGAACACCCCAAAUAUUUUUUUUUCUUUUUUUUUUUUUUUUUUUGUCUAACUAACUCCCAAAGGUCUGAAACAUGUUCCUUAAAAAAUAUUGGACAGUGAUUUUAACCCUAACGCCAAAAACCUUAAACCUAACCCUAGCCCCAAAACCUAAUACCCGGGUAUUACCUUCAGGAAGCCCGAACACCCCAAAUAUUUUUUUCAUUUUUUCAUUUUUUUUUUGGUCUAACUAACUCCAAAAGGUUGGAAAAUAGUUCCUACAAAGGUUUUGGACAGUGAUUUUAACCCUAACGCCAAAAACCUUAAACCUUACCCUAGCCCCAUAACCUAAUACCCGGGUAUUACCUUCAGGAAGCCCGAACACCCCAAAUAUUUUUUUUUCUUUUUCUUUUUUUUUGUCUAACUAACUCCCAAAGGUCUGAAACAUGUUCCUUAAAAAAUAUUGGACAGUUAUUUUAACCCUAACGCCAAAAACCUUAAACCUAACCCUAGCCCCUUAACCUCAUACCCGGGUAUUACCUUCAGGAAGCCCGAACACCCCAAAUAUUUUUUUUUCAUUUAUCUUUUUUUUUUGUCUAACUAAUUCCCAAAGGUUGGAAAAGAGUUCCUACAAAGGUUUUGGACAGUGAUUUUUACCCUCACGCCGAAAAACCUUAAACCUUACCCUAGCCCCAUAACCUAAUACUAGUGAUGCACGAUAUGAAAAAUUUCAACCGAUACCGAUAACCGAUAAUUUUCUUCUUCUCAUGGCCGAUACCGAUACCGAUACCGAUAACCGAUAAAUUCAUAUUUUUACAUUUAUUAUAAUCUUCAUAUAAUCUGCAGUUUGUGCAGGAUGCAGCGAUUGAAAACUGAUCUUUUUGUUGCUCUGGCCUAUCUAGAACAACAAACAAAAGUUUUUGGCUCUUCAAAUGUGGUCAUUUGCUAUAAAUAACAAUAACAGAGCAAAAAGCAGAACUUCAUUUGAUCCCCUGAACGGUUCAACAGAACUGUAAACUGUAAAGGAGCUAUUAUGAGACGUUAGGCUUAGCAUGCUGACCUGACUAACAUCUGACGUCCAUAUGUCUGUGGUAAAACUCACGUGUAGUCCAUUCUUGUCGAUCAGGUUGUGAAUGUAUGUGGCGACAAUAUCAUAGAGUGCAGGAAGAGACACAUCCGAGAAGAAGCGGCGGCUUGGGAGAGUGUAACGUGGCUCCAAGUGUGCUAUGAACUUACGAAAACCCGGGUUCUCAACGACGGAAAAAGGCUGGUCGUCGACCGCUAUGAACUCCAUCACUUUGUCAUUAAUGGCUUUAGCCUUUUCGCUGUCUCUUGAGAAGCUUUUGCAGUUUUUAAACGCCCGCUGAAUGGGGACAUCGAUCCUCCGUAGUGUUGUUGUCUUAGCUUUAGUACCGCUAGCAGCUUCGGCGGCUGUCUCAUAUUCUUUUAUUACCGCUUCGCCGCGAUGGCGACUUUUCAGAUGAGCUAUCAGAUUCGCUGUGUUAAUACUUGACGUCUUCUUUCCUCCUCUCGGAAUCCUCGCUGAACAGGUUUUGCAUAUAGCAAUGCUGUUGUCAUCUUCUGCCACUGAGAGAAACGACCAUGCUGGUGAAGACAUUUUAUUAUCUGUCAGGUAGUGACGGGGUCAGGCUUGGGACCUGCGAGUAAGGCGCGAUAGAUGACGUAACCAGCGCGUCUCGGACGGGCGGCUACUCCGCCUGCAAAUGUUACUCGUAAUUUCAUUAAUAUAUCGGAUCUUUCUAUCGGAAAAAUGCACCUAUCGGACCGAUAAAAAAUGACGUAAUUUCCCCCCAAAUCGGCCGAUAUUUUAUCGGUCCGAUAAAUAUCGUGCAUCCCUACCUAAUACCCGGGUAUUACCUUCAGGAAGCCCGAACACCCCAAAUAUAUAUUUUUUAUUUUUCUUUUUGUUUUGGUCUAACUUGCUCUCAAAGGUUGGAAAAGAGUUCCUACAAAGGUUUUGGACAUUGAUUUUAACCCUAACGCCAAAAACCUUAAACCUUACCCUAGCCCAGAAACCUAGUAUUACCUUCAGGAAGCCCGAACACCCCAAAAAAAUUUUUUUUCAUUUUACAUUUUUUUUGGUGUAACCAACUCCAAAAGGUCUGAAACAUGUUCCUAAAAAGGUUUUGGACAGUGAUUUUAACCCUUACGCCAAAAACCUUAAACCUUACCCUAGCCCCAUAACCUAAUACCCGGGUAUUACCUUCAGGAAGCCCGAACACCCCAAAUAUUUUUUUUUCAUUUUUCUUUUUUUUUUUGUCUAACUAACUCCAAAAGGUUGGAAAAGACUUCCUACAAAGGUUUUGGACAGUGAUUUUAACCCUCACGCCAAAAACCUUAAACCUUAACCUAGCCCCAUAACCUAAUACCCGGGUAUUACCUUCAGGAAGCCCGAACACCCCAAAUAUAUAUUUUUUCUUUUUACAUUUUUUUUGGUGUAACCAACUCCAAAAGGUCUUAAACAUGUUCCUAAAAAGGUUUUGGACAGUGAUUUUAAACCUAACGCCAAAAACCUUAAACCUUACCCUAGCCCCAUAACCUAAUACCCGGGUAUUACCUUCAGGAAGCCCAAAAACCCCAAAUAUUUUUUUUUCAUUUUUCGUUUUUUUUUGGUCUAACUAACUCCAAAAGGUUGGAAAAGAGUUCCUACAAAGGUUUUGGACAGUGAUUUUAACCCUAACGCCAAAAACCUUAAACCUUACCCUAGCCCCAUAACCUAAUACCCGGGUAUUACCUUCAGGAAGCCCGAAGACCCCAAAUAUAUUUUUUUCUUUUUUCUUUUUUUUUGGUCUAACUAACUCCAAAAGGUUGGAAAAGAGUUCCUACAAAGGUUUUGGACAGUGAUUUUAACCCUAACGCCAAAAACCUUAAACCUUACCCUAGCCCCAUAACCUCAUACCCGGGUAUUUCCUUCAGGAAGCCCGAAGACCCCAAAUAUAUUUUUUUCUUUUUUCUUUUUUUUUGGUCUAACUAACUCCAAAAGGUCGGAAAAGAGUUCCUACAAAGGUUUUGGACAGUGAUUUUAACCCUAACUCCAAAAACCUUAAACCUUACCCUAGCCCCAAAACCUAAUACCCGGGUAUUACCUUCAGGAAGCCCGAAGACCCCAAAUAUAUUUUUUUUUCAUUUUACUCUAACGCCAAAAACCUUAAACCUUACCCUAGCCCCAUAACCUAAUACCCGGGUAUUACCUUCAGGAAACCCGAACACCCCAAAUAUAUUUUUUUUCUUUUUCUUUUUUUUGUCUAACUAACUCCCAAAGGUCUGAAACAUGUUCCUUAAAAAAAUAUUGGACAGUUAUUUUAACCCUAACGCCAAAAACCUUAAACCUAACCCUUGCCCCGAAACCUAAUACCCGGGUAUUACCUUCAGGAAGCCCGAACACCCCAAAUAUAUAUUUUUUCUUUUUACAUUUUUUUUGCUGUAACCAACUCCAAAAGGUCUUAAACAUGUUCCUAAAAAGGUUUUGGACAGUGAUUUUAAACCUAACGCCAAAAACCUUAAACCUUACCCUAGCCCCAUAACCUAAUACCCGGGUAUUACCUUCAGGAAGCCCAAAAACCCCAAAUAUUUUUUUUUCAUUUUUCUUUUUUUUGUGGUCUAACUAACUCCAAAAGGUUGGAAAAGAGUUCCUACAAAGGUUUUGGACAGUGAUUUUAACCCUUACGCCAAAAACCUUUAACCUUACUAUAGCCCCAUAACCUAUACCUGGGUAUUUCCUUCAGGAAGCCCUAAGACCCCAAAUAUAUAUAUAUAUAUAUUUUGUUUUUUUUGGUCUAACUAACUCCCAAAGGUCUGAAACAUGUUCCUGAAAAAAUAUUGGACAGUGAUUUUAACCCUUAUGCCAAAAACCUUAAACCUAAUCCUAGCCCCAUAACCUAAUACUGAAACCUGAAGGGUAUUACCUUCAGGAAGCCUGAACACCCCAAAUAUUUUUUUUGUCAUUUUACAUUUUUUUUGGUGUAACCAACUCCAAAAGGUCUGAAUCUUGUUCCUUAAAAGGUUUUGGACAGUGAUUUUAACCCUAACGCCAAAAACCUUAAACCUUACCCUAGCCCCAAAACCUAAUUCCUUCAGGAAACCCGAAGACCCCAAAUAUUUUUUUUUUCAUUUAUCUUUUUUUUUUGGUCUAACUAACUCCAAAAGGUUGGAAAAGAGUUCCUACAAAGGUUUUGGACAGUGAUUUUAACCCUACCGCCAAAAACCUUAAACCUUACCCUAGCCCCAAAACCUAAUACCCGGGUAUUACCUUCAGGAAGCCCGAACACCCCAAAUAUAUUUUUUUUCAUUUUACAUUUUUUUUGGUGUAACCAACUCCAAAAGGUCUGAAACAUGUUCCUAAAAAGGUUUUGGACACUGAUUUUAACUCUAACGCCAAAAACCUUAAACCUUACCCUAGCCCCAUAACCUAAUACCCGGGUAUUACCUUCAGGAAGCCCGAACACCCCAAAUAUUUUUUUUCAUUUUUCUUUUUUUUUUGUCUAACUAACUCCAAAAGGUCUGAAACAUGUUCCUAAAAAAUUUUGGACAGUGAUUUUAACCCUUACGCCAAAAACCUUAAACCUUACCCUAGCCCCAUAACCUAAUACCCGGGUAUUACCUUCAGGAAGCCCGAACACCCCAAAUAUUUUUUUUGUCAUGUUAAAUUUUUUUUGGUGUAACCAACUCCAAAAGGUCUGAAUCUUGUUCCUUAAAAGGUUUUGGACAGUGAUUUUAACCCUAACGCCAAAAACCUUAAACCUUACCCUAGCCCCAAAACCUAAUACCCGGGUAUUACCUUCAGGAAACCCGAACACCCCAAAUAUUUUUUUUUUCUUUUUCUUUUUUUUUUGUCUAACUAACUCCCAAAGGUCUGAAACAUGUUCCUAAAAAGGUUUUGGACAGUGAUUUUAACCCUAACGCCAAAAACCUUAAACCUUACCCUAGCCCCAUAACCUAAUACCCGGGUAUUACCUUCAGGAAGCCCGAACACCCCAAAUAUAUAUUUUUUCUUUUUACAUUUUUUUUGGUGUAACCAACUCCAAAAGGUCUUAAACAUGUUCCUAAAAAGGUUUUGGACAGUGAUUUUAACCCUAACGCCAAAAACCUUAAACCUUACCCUAGCCCCAUAACCUAAUACCCGGGUAUUACCUUCAGGAAGCCCAAAAACCCCAAAUAUUUUUUUUUUCAUUUUUCGUUUUUUUGGUCUAACUAACUCCAAAAGGUUGGAAAAGAGUUCCUACAAAGGUUUUGGACAGUGAUUUUAACCCUAACGCCAAAAACCUUAAACCUUACCCUAGCCCCAUAACCUAAUACCCGGGUAUUACCUUCAGGAAGCCCGAACACCCCAAAUAUAUUUUUUUUCAUUUUUCAUUUUUUUUUGGUCUAACUAACUCCAAAAGGUCUGAAAAGAGUUCCUACAAAGGUUUUGGACAGUGAUUUUAACCCUAACACCAAAAACCUUAAACCUUACCCUAGCCCCAAAACCUAAUACCCGGGUAAUACCUUCAGGAAGCCCGAACACCCCAAAUAUUUUUUUUUUCAUUUUACAUUUUUUUUGGUGUAACCAACUCCAAAAGGUCUGAAACAUGUUCCUACAAAGGUUUUGGACAGUGAUUUUAACCCUCACACCAAAAACCUUAAACCUUACCCUAGCCCCAUAACCUAAUACCCGGGUAUUACCUUCAGGAAGCCCGAACACCCCAAAUAUAUUUUUUUUCAUUUUUCAUUUUUUUUUGGUGUAACCAACUCCCAAAGGUCUGAAACAUGUUCCUUAAAAGGUUUUGGACAGUGAUUUUAACCCUAACGCCAAAAACCUUAAACCUUAACCUAGCCCCAAAACCUAAUACCCGGGUAUUACCUUCAGGAAGCCCGAAAACCCCAAAUAUUUUUUUUUCUUUUUUCUUUUUUUUGGUCUAACUAACUCCAAAAGGUCUGAAACAUGUUCCUUAAAAAAUAUUGGACAGUGAUUUUAACCCUAACGCCAAAAACCUUAAACCUAAUCCUAGUCCCAAAACCUAAUACUAUUAUUACCUAUUAUUACCUUCAGGAAGCCCGAACACCCCAAAUUUUUUUUUUUCAUUUUUCAUUUUUUUAUUGGUCUAACUAACUCCAAAAGGUUGGAAAAGACUUCCUACAAAGGUUUUGGACAGUGAUUUUAACUCUCACGCCAAAAACCUUAAACCUUUCCAAAGCCCCAUAACCUAAUACCCGGUUUUACCUUCCGGAAGCCAAAAAACCCCAAAUAUUUUCUUUUCAUUUAUCUUUUUUUUUUUGUCUAACUAACUCCAAAAGGUUGGCAAAGACUUCCUACAAAGGUUUUGGACAGUGAUUUUAACCCUCACGCCAAAAACCUUAAACCUUACCCUAGCCCCAUAACCUAUAGCCCAGGUAUUACCUUCAGGAAGCCCGAAGACCCCGAAUAUAUAUUUUUUCAUUUAUCUUUUUUUUUUUGUCUAACUAACUCCAAAAGGUCUGAAACAUGUUCCUUAAAAAAUAUUGGACAGUGAUUUUAACCCUUACGCCAAAAACCUUAAACCUUAUCCUAGCCCCAUAACCUAAUACCCGGGUAUUACCUUCAGGAAGCCCGAACACCCCAAAUAUUUUUUUUUCAUUUUACAUUUUUUUUGGUGUAACCAACUCCAAAAGGUCAUAAACAUGUUCCUUAAAAGGUUUUGGACAGUGAUUUUAACCCUAACGCCAAAAACCUUAAACCUUACCCUAGCCCCAAAACCUAAUACCCGGUAUUACCUUCAGGAAGCCCGAACACCCCAAAUAUUUUUUUUUCAUUUUACAUUUUUUUUUGGUCUAACUAACUCCAAAAGGUCUGAAACAUGUUCCUUAAAAGGUUUUGGACAGUGAUUUUAACCCUAACACCAAAAACCUUAAACCUAAUCCUAGCCCCAAAACCUAAUACCCGGGUAUUACCUUCAGGAAGCCCGAACACCCCAAAUUUUUUUUUUCAUAUUUCAUUUUUUUUUUUGUCUAACUAACACCAAAAGGUUUGAAACAUGUUCCUACAAAGGUUUUGGACAGUGAUUUUAACCCUAACGCCAAAAACCUUAAACCUUACCCUAGCCCCAAAACCUAAUUCCUUCAGGAAACCCGAACACCCCAAAUAUUUUUUUUUUCUUUUUCUUUUUUUUGUCUAACUAACUCCAAAAGGUCUGAAACAUGUUCCUUAAAAAAAUAUUGGACAGUUAUUUUAACCCUAACGCCAAAAACCUUAAACCUAACCCUAGCCCCAAAACCUAAUACCCGGGUAUUACCUUCAGGAAGCCCGAACACCCCAAAUAUAUAUUUUUUCUUUUUACAUUUUUUUUGGUGUAACCAACUCCAAAAGGUCUUAAACAUGUUCCUAAAAAGGUUUUGGACAGUGAUUUUAACCCUAACGCCAAAAACCUUAAACCUUACCCUAGCCCCAUAACCUAAUACCCGGGUAUUACCUUCAGGAAGCCCGAAAACCCCAAAUAUUUUUUUUUCAUUUUUCGUUUUUUUUUUGGUCUAACUAACUCCAAAAGGUUGGAAAAGAGUUCCUACAAAGGUUUUGGACAGUGAUUUUAACCCUAACGCCAAAAACCUUAAACCUUACCCUAGCCCCAUAACCUAAUACCCGGGUAUUACCUUCAGGAAGCCCGAACACCCCAAAUAUAUUUUUUUCUUUUUUUUUUUUUUUGGUCUAACUAACUCCAAAAGGUCGGAAAAGAGUUCCUACAAAGGUUUUGGACAGUGAUUUUAACCCUAACGCCAAAAACCUUAAACCUUACCCUAGCCCCAAACCUAAUACCCGGGUAUUACCUUCAGGAAGCCCGAACACCCCAAAUAUAUUUUUUUUCAUUUUACAUUUUUUUUUGGUGUUACCAACUCCAAAAGGUCUGAAACAUGUUCCUAAAAGGUUUUGGACAGUGAUUUUAACCCUAACGCCAAAAACCUUUAACCUUACUAUAGCCCCAUAACCUAAUACCCGGGUAUUACCUUCAGGAAGCCUGAACACCCCAAAUAUUUUUUUUUUUCAUUUUACAUUUUUUUUGGUGUAACCAACUCCAAAAGGUCUUAAACAUGUUCCUAAAAAGGUUUUGGACACUGAUUUUAACUCUAACGCCAAAAACCUUAAACCUUACCCUAGCCCCAUGACCUAAUACCCGGGUAUUACCUUCAGGAAGCCCAAAAACCCCAAAUAUUUUUUUUUCAUUUUUCUUUUUUUGUGGUCUAACUAACUCCAAAAGGUUGGAAAAGAGUUCCUACAAAGGUUUUGGACAGUGAUUUUAACCCUAACGCCAAAAACCUUAAACCUUACCCUAGCCCCAUAACCUCAUACCCGGGUAUUUCCUUCAGGAAGCCCGAAGACCCCAAAUAUAUUUUUUUCUUUUUUCUUUUUUUUUGGUCUAACUAACUCCAAAAGGUCGGAAAAGAGUUCCUACAAAGGUUUUGGACAGUGAUUUUAACCCUAACGCCAAAAACCUUAAACCUUACCCUAGCCCCAUAACCUAAUACCCGGGUAUUACCUUCAGGAAGCUUGAACACCCCAAAUAUUUUUUUUUUCAUUUUUCGUUUUUUUUUUGGUCUAACUAACUCCAAAAGGUUGGAAAAUAGUUCCUACAAAGGUUUUGGACAGUGAUUUUAACCCUAACGCCAAAAACCUUAAACCUUACCCUAGCCCCAUAACCUCAUACCCGGGUAUUUCCUUCAGGAAGCCCGAAGACCCCAAAUAUAUAUAUAUAUAUUUUUUGUUUUUUUUUGGUCUAACUAACUCCAAAAGGUUGGAAAAGAGUUCCUACAAAGGUUUUGGACAGUGAUUUUAACCCUACCACCAAAAACCUUAAACCUUACCCUAGCCCCAAAACCUAAUACCCGGGUAUUACCUUCAGGAAGCCCGAACACCCCAAAUAUAUUUUUUUUCAUUUUACAUUUUUUUUGGUGUAACCAACUCCAAAAGGUCUUAAACAUGUUCCUAAAAAGGUUUUGGACAGUGAUUUUAACCCUAACGCCAAAAACCUUAAACCUUACCCUAGCCCCAUGACCUAAAACCCGGGUAUUACCUUCAGGAAGCCCAAAAACCCCAAAUAUUUUUUUUUCAUUUUUCUUUUUUUUGUGGUCUAACUAACUCCAAAAGGUUGGAAAAGAGUUCCUACAAAGGUUUUGGACAGUGAUUUUAACCCUAACGCCAAAAACCUUAAACCUUACCCUAGCCCCAUAACCUCAUACCCGGGUAUUUCCUUCAGGAAGCCCGAAGACCCCAAAUAUAUAUUUUUCUUUUUUCUUUUUUUUUGGUCUAACUAACUCCAAAAGGUCGGAAAAGAGUUCCUACAAAGGUUUUGGACGGUGAUUUUAACCCUAACACCAAAAACCUUAAACCUUACCCUAGCCCCAUAACCUAAUACCCGGUAUUACCUUCAGGAAGCUUGAACACCCCAAUUUUUUUUUUUUCAUUUUUUGUUUUUUUUUUGGUCUAACUAACUCCAAAAGGUUGGAAAAUAGUUCCUACAAAGGUUUUGGACAGUGAUUUUAACCCUAACGCCAAAAACCUUUAACCUUACUAUAGCCCCAUAACCUAAUACCUGGGUAUUUCCUUCAGGAAGCCCGAAGACCCCAAAUAUAUAUAUAUAUAUUUUUUGUUUUUUUUGGUCUAACUAACUCCAAAAGGUUGGAAAAGAGUUCCUACAAAGGUUUUGGACAGUGAUUUUAACCCUACCACCAAAAACCUUAAACCUUACCCUAGCCCCAAAACCUAAUACCCGGGUAUUACCUUCAGGAAGCUUGAACACCCCAAAUAUAUUUUUUUUUCAUUUUACAUUUUUUUUUGGUGUAACCAACUCCAAAAGGUCUUAAACAUGUUCCUAAAAAGGUUUUGGACAGUGAUUUUAACUCUAACGCCAAAAACCUUAAACCUUACCCUAGCCCCAUAACCUAAUACCCGGGUAUUACCUUCAGGAAGCCCGAACACCCCAAAUAUUUUUUUUUCUUUUUCUUUUUUUUUUGUCUAACUAACUCCCAAAGGUCUGAAACAUGUUCCUGAAAAAAUAUUGGACAGUGAUUUUAACCCUUACGCCAAAAACCUUAAACCUAAUCCUAGCCCCAUAACCUAAUACUUAAACCUGAAGGGUAUUACCUUCAGGAAGCCCGAACACCCCAAAUAUUUUUUUUUUCAUUUUACAUUUUUUUUGGUGUAACCAACUCCAAAAGGUCUGAAUCUUGUUCCUUAAAAGGUUUUGGACAGUGAUUUUAACCCUAACGCCAAAAACCUUAAACCUUACCCUAGCCCCAAAACCUAAUACCCGGGUAUUACCUUCAGGAAGCUUGAACACCCCAAAUAUUUUUUUUUUCAUUUAUCUAUUUUUUUUUGUCUAACUAAUUCCCAAAGGUUGGAAAAGAGUUCCUCAAAGGUUUUGGACAGUGAUUUUUACCCUCACACCGAAAAACCUUAAACCUUACCCUAGCCCCAUAACCUAAUACCCGGGUAUUACCUUCAGGAAGCCCGAACACCCCAAAUAUAUAUUUUUUAUUUUUACAUUUUUUUUGGUGUAACCAACUCCAAAAGGUCAUAAACAUGUUCCUUAAAAGGUUUUGGACAGUGAUUUUAACCCUAACGCCAAAAACCUUAAACCUUACCCUAGCCCCAAAACCUAAUACCUUCAGGAAGCCCGAAAACCCCAAAUAUUUUUUUUUCUUUUUUCUUUUUUUUGGUCUAACUAACUCCAAAAGGUCUGAAACAUGUUCCUUAAAAAAUAUUGGACAGUGAUUUUAACCCUAACGCCAAAAACCUUAAACCUAAUCCUAGUCCCAAAACCUAAUACCCGGGUAUUACCUUCAGGAAGCCCGAACACCCCAAAUUUUUUUUUUUCAUUUUUCAUUUUUUUAUUGGUCUAACUAACUCCAAAAGGUUGGAAAAGACUUCCUACAAAGGUUUUGGACAGUGAUUUUAACUCUCACGCCAAAAACCUUAAACCUUUCCAAAGCCCCAUAACCUAAUACCUGGGUUUUACCUUCCGGAAGCCAAAAAACCCCAAAUAUUUUUUUUUCAUUUAUCUUUUUUUUUUUGUCUAACUAACUCCAAAAGGUUGGAAAAGACUUCCUACAAAGGUUUUGGACAGUGAUUUUAACCCUCACGCCAAAAACCUUAAACCUUAACCUAGCCCCAUAACCUAAUACCCGGUAUUACCUUCAGGAAGCCCGAACACCCCAAAUAUAUAUUUUUUCAUUUAUCUUUUUUUUUUUGUCUAACUAACUCCAAAAGGUCUGAAACAUGUUCCUUAAAAAAUAUUGGACAGUGAUUUUAACCCUUACGCCAAAAACCUUAAACCUAAUCCUAGCCCCAUAACCUAAUACUUAAACCUGAAGGGUAUUACCUUCAGGAAGCCCGAACACCCCAAAUAUUUUUUUUGUCAUUUUACAUUUUUUUUGGUGUAACCAACUCCAAAAGGUCUGAAUCUUGUUCCUUAAAAGGUUUUGGACAGUGAUUUUAACCCUAACGCCAAAAACCUUAAACCUUACCCUAGCCCCAAAACCUAAUACCUUCAGGAAGCCCGAAAACCCCAAAUAUUUUUUUUUCAUUUUACAUUUUUUUUGGUCUAACUAACUCCAAAAGGUCUGAAACAUGUUCCUUAAAAAAUAUUGGACAGUGAUUUUAACCCUAACGCCAAAAACCUUAAACCUAAUCCUAGCCCCAAAACCUAAUACCCGGGUAUUACCUUCAGGAAGCCCGAACACCCCAAAUUUUUUUUUUUCAUUUUUCAUUUUUUUAUUGGUCUAACUAACACCAAAAGGUUUGAAAAGAGGUCCUACAAAGGUUUUGGACAGUGAUUUUAACCCUCACGCCAAAAACCUUAAACCUUACCCUAGCCCCAUAACCUAAUACCCGGGUAUUACCUUCAGGAAGCCCGAACACCCCAAAUAUUUUUUUUUCAUUUAUCUUUUUUUUUUUGUCUAACUAACUCCAAAAGGUUGGAAAAGACUUCCUACAAAAGACUAACUCCAAAAGGUUGGAAAAGACUUCCUACAAAGGUAAUACAAAUUAUUACCUUCAGGAAGCUCGAACACCCCAAAUUUAUACAUUUUUUUUUCUUUUUUUUUUGUCAAACUAGCUCCAAAAAGUCUGAAACAUGUUCCUUAAAAAUAUUGGACAGUGAUUUUAACCCUAACGCCAAAAACAUUAAACCUAAUCCUAGCCCCAUAACCUAAUACUUAAACCUGAAGGGUAUUACCUUCAGGAAGCCCGAACACCCCAAAUAUUUUUUUUUUCAUUUUACAUUUUUUUUUGGUGUAACCAACUCCAAAAGGUCUUAAACAUGUUCCUAAAAAGGUUUUGGACACUGAUUUUAACUCUAACGCCAAAAACCUUAAACCUUACCCUAGCCCCAUAACCUAAUACCCGGGUAUUACCUUCAGGAAACCCGAACACCCCAAAUAUUUUUUUUUCUUUUUCUUUUUUUUUGUCUAACUAACUCCCAAAGGUCUGAAACAUGUUCCUUAAAAAAUAUUGGACAGUUAUUUUAACCCUAACGCCAAAAACCUUAAACCUUACCCUAGCCCCAUAACCUAAUACCCGGGUAUUACCUUCAGGAAGCCCGAAAAGCCCAAAUAUUGUUUUUUCAUUUUUCGUUUUUUUUUUGGUCUAACUAAUUCCAAAAGGAUGGUAAAGUGUUCCUACAAAGGUUUUGGACAGUGAUUUUUACCCUCACGCCGAAAAACCUUAAACCUUACCCUAGCCCCAUAACCUAUUACCUUCAGGAAGCCCGAAAAGCCCAAAUAUAUAUUUUUUAUUUUUCUUUUUGUUUUGGUCUAACUUGCUCUCAAAGGUUGGAAGAGUUCCUACAAAGGUUUUGGACAUUGAUUUUAACCCUAACGCCAAAAACCUUAAACAUUACCCUAGCCCAGAAACCUAGUAUUACCUUCAGGAAGCCCGAACACCCAAAAAAAAUUUUUUUUCAUUUUACAUUUUUUUUGGUGUAACCAACUCUAAAAGGUCUGAAACAUGUUCCUAAAAAGGUUUUGGACAGUGAUUUUAACCCUUACGCCAAAAACCUUAAACCUUACCCUAGCCCCAUAACCUAAUACCCGGGUAUUACCUUCAGGAAGCCCGAACACCCCAAAUAUUUUUUGGGGUGUUUAUCUUUUUUUUUUUGUCUAACUAACUCCAAAAGGUUGGAAAAGACUUCCUACAAAGGUUUUGGACAGUGAUUUUAACCCUCACGCCAAAAACCUUAAACCUUACCCUAGCCCCAUAACCUAAUACCCGGGUAUUACCUUCAGGAAGCCCGAACACCCCAAAUAUAUAUUUUUUCUUUUUCUUUUUUUUUUUGGUCAAACUAGCUCCAAAAGGUCUGAAACAUGUUCCUUAAAAAAUAUUGGACAGUGAUUUUAACCCUUACGCCAAAAACCUUAAACCUAAUCCUAGCCCCAUAACCUAAUACUUAAACCUGAAGGGUAUUACCUUCAGGAAGCCCGAACACCCCAAAUAUAUUUUUUUUCAUUUUACAUUUUUUUUGGUGUAACCAACUCCAAAAGGUCUGAAUCUUGUUCCUUAAAAGGUUUUGGACAGUGAUUUUAACCCUAACGCCAAAAACCUUAAACCUUUCCCUAGCCUCAAAACCUAAUACCUUCAGGAAGCCCGAAAAGCCCAAAUAUUUUUUUUUCUUUUUUCUUUUUUUUGGUCUACCUAACUCCAAAAGGUCUGAAACAUGUUCCUUAAAAAAUAUUGGACAGUGAUUUUAACCCUAACGCCAAAAACCUUAAACCUAAUCCUAGCCCCAUAACCUAAUACUUAAACCUGAAGGGUAUUACCUUCAGGAAGCCCGAACACCCCAAAUAUUUUUUUUUCAUUUUUCAUUUUUUUAUUGGUCUAACUAACUCCAAAAGGUUGGAAAAGACUCCCUACAAAGGUUUUGAACACUGAUUUUAACCCUCACGCCAAAAACCUUAAACCUUACCCUAGCCCCAUAACCUAAUACCCGGGUAUUACCUUCAGGAAGCUUGAACAACCCAAAUAUUUUUUUUUUUUCAUUUUACAUUUUUUUUUGGUGUUACCAACUCCAAAAGGUCUGAAACAUGUUCCUAAAAAGGUUUUGGACAGUGAUUUUAACCCUGACGCCAAAAACCUUAAACCUUACCCUAGCCCCAUAACCUAAUACCCGGGUAUUACCUUCAGGAAGCCCGAACACCCCAAAUAUUUUUUUUUCAUUUAUCUUUUUUUUUUUUGUCUAACUAACUCCAAAAGGUUGGAAAAGAGUUCCUACAAAGGUUUUGGACAGUGAUUUUAACCCUAACGCCAAAAACCUUAAACCUUAACCUAGCCCCAAAACCUAAUACCUUCAGGAAGCCCGAAAACCCCAAAUAUUUUUUUUUUCUUUUUUCUUUUUUUUUGGUCUAACUAACUCCAAAAGGUCUGAAACAUGUUCCUUAAAAAAUAUUGGACAGUGAUUUUAACCCUAACGCCAAAAACCUUAAACCUAAUCCUAGCCCCAAAACCUAAUACCCGGGUAUUACCUUCAGGAAGCCCGAAAACCCCAAAUAUUUUUUUUUCAUUUUUCAUUUUUUUAUUGGUCUAACUAACUCCAAAAGGUUGGAAAAGACUCCCUACAAAGGUUUUGAACACUGAUUUUAACCCUCACGCCAAAAACCUUAAACCUUUCCAAAGCCCCAUAACCUAAUACCCGGGUAUUACCUUCAGGAAGCCCAAAAACCCCAAAUAUUUGUUUUUCAAUUUUCGUUUUUUUUUUUGGUCUAACUUACACCAAAAGGUUGGAAAAGAGGUCCUACAAAGGUUUUGGACAGUGAUUUUAACCCUCACGCCAAAAACCUUAAACCUUACCCUAGCACCAUAACCUAAUACCCGGGUAUUACCUUCAGGAAGCCCGAACACCCCAAAUAUUUUUUUUUUUCAUUUUACAUUUUUUUUUGGUGUAACCAACUCCAAAAGGUCUUAAACAUGUUCCUAAAAAGGUUUUGGACACUGAUUUUAACUCUAACGCCAAAAACCUUAAACCUUACCCUAGCCCCAUAACCUAAUACCCGGGUAUUACCUUCAGGAAACCCGAACACCCCAAAUAUUUUUUUUUCUUUUUCUUUUUUUUUGUCUAACUAACUCCCAAAGGUCUGAAACAUGUUCCUUAAAAAAUAUUGGACAGUUAUUUUAACCCUAACGCCAAAAACCUUAAACCUUACCCUAGCCCCAUAACCUAAUACCCGGGUAUUACCUUCAGGAAGCCCGAAAAGCCCAAAUAUUGUUUUUUCAUUUUUCGUUUUUUUUUUGGUCUAACUAAUUCCAAAAGGAUGGUAAAGUGUUCCUACAAAGGUUUUGGACAGUGAUUUUUACCCUCACGCCGAAAAACCUUAAACCUUACCCUAGCCCCAUAACCUAUUACCUUCAGGAAGCCCGAAAAGCCCAAAUAUAUAUUUUUUAUUUUUCUUUUUGUUUUGGUCUAACUUGCUCUCAAAGGUUGGAAGAGUUCCUACAAAGGUUUUGGACAUUGAUUUUAACCCUAACGCCAAAAACCUUAAACAUUACCCUAGCCCAGAAACCUAGUAUUACCUUCAGGAAGCCCGAACACCCAAAAAAAAUUUUUUUUCAUUUUACAUUUUUUUUGGUGUAACCAACUCUAAAAGGUCUGAAACAUGUUCCUAAAAAGGUUUUGGACAGUGAUUUUAACCCUUACGCCAAAAACCUUAAACCUUACCCUAGCCCCAUAACCUAAUACCCGGGUAUUACCUUCAGGAAGCCCGAACACCCCAAAUAUUUUUUGGGGUGUUUAUCUUUUUUUUUUUGUCUAACUAACUCCAAAAGGUUGGAAAAGACUUCCUACAAAGGUUUUGGACAGUGAUUUUAACCCUCACGCCAAAAACCUUAAACCUUAACCUAGCCCCAUAACCUAAUACCCGGGUAUUACCUUCAGGAAGCCCGAACACCCCAAAUAUAUAUUUUUUCUUUUUCUUUUUUUUUUUUGGUCAAACUAGCUCCAAAAGGUCUGAAACAUGUUCCUUAAAAAAUAUUGGACAGUGAUUUUAACCCUUACGCCAAAAACCUUAAACCUAAUCCUAGCCCCAUAACCUAAUACUUAAACCUGAAGGGUAUUACCUUCAGGAAGCCCGAACACCCCAAAUAUAUUUUUUUUCAUUUUACAUUUUUUUUGGUGUAACCAACUCCAAAAGGUCUGAAUCUUGUUCCUUAAAAGGUUUUGGACAGUGAUUUUAACCCUAACGCCAAAAACCUUAAACCUUUCCCUAGCCCCAAAACCUAAUACCUUCAGGAAGCCCGAAAAGCCCAAAUAUUUUUUUUUCUUUUUUCUUUUUUUUGGUCUACCUAACUCCAAAAGGUCUGAAACAUGUUCCUUAAAAAAUAUUGGACAGUGAUUUUAACCCUAACGCCAAAAACCUUAAACCUAAUCCUAGCCCCAAAACCUAAUACCCGGGUAUUACCUUCAGGAAGCCCGAACACCCCAAAUAUUUUUUUUUCAUUUUUCAUUUUUUUAUUGGUCUAACUAACUCCAAAAGGUUGGAAAAGACUCCCUACAAAGGUUUUGAACACUGAUUUUAACCCUCACGCCAAAAACCUUAAACCUUACCCUAGCCCCAUAACCUAAUACCCGGGUAUUACCUUCAGGAAGCUUGAACAACCCAAAUAUUUUUUUUUUUCAUUUUACAUUUUUUUUUGGUGUUACCAACUCCAAAAGGUCUGAAACAUGUUCCUAAAAAGGUUUUGGACAGUGAUUUUAACCCUGACGCCAAAAACCUUAAACCUUACCCUAGCCCCAUAACCUCAUACCCGGGUAUUACCUUCAGGAAGCCCGAACACCCCAAAUAUUUUUUUUUCAUUUAUCUUUUUUUUUUUGUCUAACUAACUCCAAAAGGUUGGAAAAGACUUCCUACAAAGGUUUUGGACAGUGAUUUUAACCCUCACGCCAAAAACCUUAAACCUUAAACUAGCCCCAUAACCUAUUACCCGGGUAUUACCUUCAGGAAGCCCGAACACCCCAAAUAUAUAUUUUUUCUUUUUCUUUUUUUUUUUGGUCAAACUAGCUCCAAAAGGUCUGAAACAUGUUCCUUAAAAAAUAUUGGACAGUGAUUUUAACCCUUACGCCAAAAACCUUAAACCUUACCCUAGCCCCAUAACCUAAUACCCGGGUAUUACCUUCAGGAAGCUUGAACAACCCAAAUAUUUUUUUUUUUCAUUUUACAUUUUUUUUUGGUGUUACCAACUCCAAAAGGUCUGAAACAUGUUCCUAAAAAGGUUUUGGACAGUGAUUUUAACCCUGACGCCAAAAACCUUAAACCUUACCCUAGCCCCAUAACCUCAUACCCGGGUAUUACCUUCAGGAAGUCCGAACACCCCAAAUAUUUUUUUUUCAUUUAUCUUUUUUUUUUUGUCUAACUAACUCCAAAAGGUUGGAAAAGAGUUCCUACAAAGGUUUUGGACAGUGAUUUUAACCCUAACGCCAAAAACCUUAAACCUUAACCUAGCCCCAAAACCUAAUACCUUCAGGAAGCCCGAAAACCCCAAAAAAUUUUUUUUCUUUUUUCUUUUUUUUUGGUCUAACUAACUCCAAAAGGUCUGAAACAUGUUCCUUAAAAAAUAUUGGACAGUGAUUUUAACCCUUACGCCAAAAACCUUAAACCUAUUCCUAGCCCCAUAACCUAAUACUUAAACCUGAAGGGUAUUACCUUCAGGAAGCUUGAACAACCCAAAUAUAUUUUUUUUCAUUUUACAUUUUUUUUGGUGUAACCAACUCCAAAAGGUCUGAAUCUUGUUCCUUAAAACGUUUUGGACAGUGAUUUUAACCCUAACGCCAAAAACCUUAAACCUUUCCCUAGCCCCAAAACCUAAUACCUUCAGGAAGCCCGAAAACCCCCCAAAAUUUUUUUUCUUUUUUCUUUUUUUUUGGUCUAACUAACUCCAAAAGGUCUGAAACAUGUUCCUUAAAAAAUAUUGGACAGUGAUUUUAACCCUAUCGCCAAAAACCUUUAAAGUUACCCUAGCCCCAAAACCUAAUACCGGGUAUUACCUUCAGGAAGCCCGAAAACUAUCACUCGAAUCCCUGCAUGAGCAGAAUGGUGCCAGAUGGACCACCUGCUCCCACCACAAUCCUCUGUGACUUUUUGACUCUAUCCACUUUUAGAACUUAAAAUAGUAAUCAAUAAUCAACUGACCAACUCAGCUCAAACCAAACCCAAAACUCUGCCUAGAGAACUCUCACUUCCACGUUUACAUAUCUCUUUGUAUCUUGUGAGGACCGUGAGGAGAGCAGAGCCUAGACCUAGUCGGGUCAGGUGACUAUGUCCCUUGCUCACUCUCCUCACAUGGAUGGUGAGAGCUGGGGAGCUAUGGGAUGUUUCAUCCGCCACCAAAUCCCCCUCACCAAUCUUUAUUUUCCACCAUCUCCACCUCUCCCUUAAACCCCCCUCUCCCUCUUCCCUCUCUCUCUCUCUCUCUCUCUCUCUCUCUCUCUCUCUCUCUCUCUCUCUCUCUCUCUCACCCCCCCCCCUCUCUCUCUCUCUCUCCCUCAUCUCUCUCCCUCAUCUCUCCCCCUCUCUCUAACACCCCCCCUCUUUCUUAUUCCCUCCCCUGCCCCUUUAUUUUCACCUUCACAGAGGACAAAUAGGUGAUCUUCAGCCUCGGCCUACCCCGGCCGGGGGGUAACCCCUGUUGGGUCACCUAUAUUGAGGAUUAAGAGAGACCUGAAGGGGAACCGCCGUGCCACCUAAAUCCUCCCCCUCUAACAUCUUUUUUAACACUCUAAAAUUAGCCAGCUAACCCCACUACAAACAACUUCAUCAAAAAUUUAAAUAAUAAAUACUUAUUGAUAACUGACCAUCAGUGACACCAGACUAAGCUAGUAAAAAAGGACACACAUACAUGUGCAGAUUUUCCCUUAGGACAUUGAUCAAAUUUACAUUUCUGUCUGUCUUUUAGGGAACUGUUCUCUGUUUUUAAGCUCACUUCUGUUUUUUGCUAUUUGCUCUUGACACUUCUUUUUUUCCUUUUUUAUUCUCCUUUCCCUUUUGCAAUCCACUUUUGUUCUUCUUUUAUUUUUUAUUUUUUCAUUGUUUUAUAUUAUUUUAUUUUAUUUUAUUUUAUUUCAUUUUAGGGUUCCUGUGCUUUUGUUUGUCUUCCCCCCUCCCCUCUUUUUUCUUAGGAAGGACUGACUCCUGAGGUUCUCAUGCCAGGAAAAAUGUACCUCCCUCACUCACGGUUUUACCCACAAUCCUUUGCUGCAACAGGGAGAUUGAUUCCCAAGGCUCUCAUGGCAGAAAGGAAGUACCUCACUCACUCACGGUUUUACCCACAAUCCUUUGCUGUAACAGGAAGAUUGAUUCCUUGGGCUCUCAUCCCUCAGAACUAAAAUACCCACAAUCCCUUACGAUUGCAUACAAAUUUAAUGUAGCAAAACUAAAUUUAAAACAAAUAAACUACAUUAAAAUUAACUUAAAACAACUUGAAAGUUUAAAAUACAACCAAGAGACAUCCAUUCUGGAAUACAAACAUCGAGAAGAGAACACAACCAUGUCUGAGAGGAACAGCACAAACCAUUAAUCGAGCCCAACUCUGGGGAUGUCUUCUCCUGUCAAAAGCACAUUUAAGUGCUGUGCACUAAAGAGCAAUUCCUGUUGCUGUAAUUGAGACAAAGCACUGACCACUGGACCAAGAAGACCGACCACCGCCUCGAGGAAGACGCUGCGCCGCCACCUGAAAGAAGACGCCGCACCUCCAUCACUCCAAGCCGCCCACCACCGAGCUUCGACCCGCCGACGGCACCGAGUCCCAGCAAACCUUGCCGCGGAGCGCCUAUCUUCUUUCCCCCGCCGAGGACCCCGGACUUCAGACACACCGCUGCCGCCGCGGCUGGACAGCUGGAACCUUUUCCCCCCUCCAACAGAUUUUAGACUACUGGAAAAGAAACGCCUCACAUCAACAACAACAUAGGACCACUAGGGUAAGUCUACAAAAAACCUCUCAAACACCUCAAAAUUACUCUAAAUAGUUAGUUUUGUUUUUGAACUUGAGUUUGUGUCGUGUUUGAAGUUUGUGACAACUUAUGAACUUGAGUUUGUUUCGCUUGAUUUUUUGGCAAUUGUUGAACUUGAGUCUUUGGUUUUUAGUGAACUUUAGUUGGUGGCAAUUGUUGAACUUGAGUUUGUGGCGUUUGUUGAACUUGAGUUUGUGUUGUUUUUUAACUUGAGGUUUUGGCAAUUGUUAAUCUUUAGAUUUGGGUGUUGGUUGAACUUAAAACUUUGACAUUUGUUGAACUUGACUUUGUGGUGUUCAUUUAACUUGAGUUUGUGGUGUUUUUGGACUUGAAUUUUUGUGUUUUUUUUAACUUGAGUUUGUGGUGUUUUUGAACUUGAAUUUGUGUGUUUUUUGAACUUGAGGUUGUUGCAAUUUUUGAACUUGAGUUUGAAGAACUUGAGUUUUUGGCAAUUGUUAAAUGUGAGUUUAGGUCAUUUGUUGAAUUUGAAAUUUUGGCAUUUUUUGAACUUAAGAUUGUGGUGUUUGUUGAACUUGAGUUUGUGGCAAUUGUUGAACUUGAGUCUGUAUUUUUCCCUGAACUUUAGUUUGAAUUUUUGUGUGUUUUUUGAAUUUAAGUUUGUGGCAAUUGUUAAACUUGAGAUUUGGGUGUUGGUUGAACUUGAGUUUGUGGUGUUUUUGAACUUGAGUUUGUGUGUUUGUUUAACUUGAGUUUGUGGCGUGUUUUGACUUGAGUUUCUGUUGUUUUUGAACUUGAGGUUGUGGCAAUUGUCAAACUUGAGAUUUGGGAUUUGGUUGAACUUGAGUUUGUGUCAUGUUUGAACUUUGGUUUGUGGUGCUUUUUAACUUGAGUUUGUGGCGGUGUUGAGCUUGAGUUUGUGGCGUGUUUUAACCUGAAUUUUUGUUGUUUUUCUUACUUGAGGCUUCGGCAAUUGUUAAACUUUAGAUUUGGGUGUUGGUUGAACUUAAAACUUUGACAUUUGUUGAACUUAUGUAUGUGGUGUUCAUUGAACUUCAGUUUGUGUCUUGUUUGAACUUGACUUUGUGGUGUUUUUGAACUUGAGUUGGUGGUGUUUUUGAACUUGAGUUGGUGGAAAUUGUUGAACUUGAGAAUUGGGUGUUGGUUGAACUUGAGUUUCUGGUGUUUUUGAACUUGAGUUUGAGUUUGUUUGUUUGUUGAACUUGAGUUCGUGGCGUGUUUGAACUUGAGUUUGUGUUCUUUUUGAACUUGAGGUUGUGGAAAUUGUUAAACUCACCCUCCUCGAGCCAUCAUGAAGGCGGAGGUGGCGGGGGUAGAGCAGCAAUGAACAAAACCCCCCUGGAACAGGAGCGCUUUAAGGACAGCGGAGCAAUUAGCUGGCACGAGGGUGGAGCUGGUGUGGCAGUGUGUUGCUGGUUUGCUGUCAGAACAGAGGAAGAGGCUGGGUUAGUGCAGUUUUAAAUAAGGCACUCUAUAGGCAAAGAACCAAUAGGAUCUAGGUGUGAAUCAGCUGAUUAUCAUCUGGUUGAGGUGGCUACUAGCCAUUGGCUGUGGAUCAGCGCUUGACGUUGUGUCCUGACAGAACUAACGCUAUGCUUCAUUUCAGUCAGGUACACUUUGUCCAAAUUUUUAGCUUUAUUGUGCAAGUUAGAUUUGGCGGCAUGAUUCUGUUCCGGGUCCCUGCCCUUCCACGCGCUUGUGUGGAAGCCCAAGGCAGGAAGAGCCCCUUCCUGCCUUUCACGAGCCAUCAUGAAAGGCGAUAGCAGGGAGCGCACGCGAGGUUCUGUUCAGGGUCCCCGUUCUCCACGUUGGCAGGGGUGAAAGGCCAGCGGCAGGAAGAGCACCUUCCCGCCCUCCACGUGCCAUCAUGAAGGCGGGGGAGGCAGGGGUAGAGCAGCAAUGAACAGAACCCCCCCAAAACAACCAUGCCGUGCAGUCUAGGAGCUAGCAGGGGAGGUGAGCGCUGCUGAAAGAAAGACGGGUUAGAGAGACCCGUUGCCCAAGCAUGGAUAUUUAUCUGCAGGUUGUUUAUAUAUUUCAUUUAAUUAGCAUCUAUGUGCCAAAGUUAUGGGUACUCAUAGUUUUUGGGCUUCGAGAAUGUCCCGAGCCUCAGGGCGCAGAUAGCGUUUGUACGCAGCUGACGACUAUUGGCCCAUGGCUUUGAGGGUCGACACAGGAGCCGUCAUAGCUGUGGUUGUAGCUGCACCUAUGUGAAAGGAAUGAGCCGUGUAGCGAUCUGAAGGAUGUGUGGAGGGCGAUCAGCUAAGCUGUCAUCUGACUGAGGGCUAGCUUAAGAUCAGCUGGCUUUAACCUUUAGCUUGACUGUACCUUGUGUCCUGCCUGAACUACAGCCAUGCUUAAUUUCAGUCAGGACUACUUUAGUUAGAAUCAAUUAUUUAUUACUAGCAAAAAAUUUUUAACAUUGUCGGUAUGGCUCUGUUCUGAGAGUUCCCUGCUCUCUCAUGCGCUUGCAUAGAAUCCCAAGGCAAUGAGAGGGAAUGCCCUCCCCUCCCUUUCAUGUGCAUAUAUGAAAAGCCAAGGCAGAAAAAGCAGCAGCCAUACUGGCAACCCUCCCCAGCUUUCAUGAGCUACAUGAAGGCACCUACAGGGGAGGGAGGGCAGCCAGCAGCGAGAAACUAUGAAGCAACCUACCCACCUACAAAGCUUGCAUAGUAUUGGUUACCCUCACAACAUGAUCAUGGAUCAGGAUUAAUUUAAUCCAUACACAAAUUUAUAGUUGGGAAUAUGCGUAAUGCAAUAGAUAUGGGAAAGAAUUAAGGAGCAGCAGCAAUUUUUUUUUUUGUAGCUAAUCGAGCAUAGGAAUAUUCUAAUAAUAAUAAUAUAUUAGCCUUGGGCCUGAGGUAUCAUUCAAAGGCUGAUCGGGACCAUUGACCCGUAGCCUUGAGCGUCGAGACGGGGACGAUGGAAGAUGCAGUUGUAGCUGUGCCUAUGCGUGGUGAAUGCGUAGAGUUGUACUCAGGUAGGAGCCAACAGGAUUGGCAGAGCAGGCAGAGGUGAGCAGAAAGCUGCAAUCUGGAUAUAGGUUUCCCUUCUUCAGUGGCAAAGAGAGACUCUUGCUGGCUGGCCAGUGGCCGGCCUCUCAGGCAGCGGGACAUGGAGGAUAAAGAACAAAGACAGAGUUAGUUUUGGAAAUAUUAGAAAAAAAAGAAAAGUGCGAGAUUCAAAACUGUGGACUAUUAAAGCACAUACAAUGGAUAUAUUUAGGGCGUUGGGGCUACAGAGAAGGUGGUACAAAAGAGGUAAAGUGAGACCAUGCAGAAUCGUAUAAACUUUAAUGCUGAUUUUGCUUAACCAGCUCUCAAGUAGCUGUCAACAGAGAGCACUAAGGAUUGCAAGGCUGCACUCAGACUAACACAGUCUGAAUGAAUGGCUUCACGAACAGCCGUUGGGAUGCUUUGCCAGUGCCUUCCCCGGCUCAAGGACAUUUGACAGAGUAGACAGCUUUGUUCUUUCCCGUUUUACCAGGUGGGUGCGUCAUGGGCAUGCUGAUUUCAGAUGCCCGUCCCUGGAGUAACUUGGCUUCUCCGAGUAGUAGGCUUAGAGAGGCUUGGGUGGUUGGCAUGUAGCCACAGUUUUAGGGCACCGAUUAGAGGUGUGGGCAGGGGUGGACAAGGUAGGAUAAGGUUCCUCCAGGUACUGUACCCGUAGACUUUGUACAAGAGGAGCACACCCAAGUUAAGCGAGUUGCUGACUCCGAUGCCACAGUAUCAUCAUCUGCUGUAUCUCUCUCUUAAACAUAAAAUUAUUAUUAUUAUUAUUAUUAUUAUUAUUAUUAUUAUUAUUAUUUUCCUCUGCAUUUUGUCUUAUUUCUGCAUUAAGAUUGAAGCAGCUGACUCUUUAAAAGUUCCCUCCUUCUGCAAAAGGCGGAAGGCGGGCCCCUGCACCUAGGCAACCAGCGUCCAAUCAAAAGUGCGCACUGGUGCUCCCACUUGGAGUUUAUUUGUAAGCAAAUACCACUCACUCUCAAGCGGCAUGGUCCUAUUGGAUUACUUCGGUUAUAACGCAGAGUGCAGACUGAUGUGCAGCAACAGACUAAGCCUAGAUACAUGACAGGGGUGAAAACUUUAAACAGCUGAUUAUGUCUUCCCGAAAUGGCGUACUGCUGCGUAAUGGCUUACUUUCACCUCCAGGUGAGAGAAAGACCCGCAGAUUAAGCAGGAAAAAGCUUGAUGCUCGGUGAAUUGUUAACUGAUUAGAGCCAGGUCGACUACGGACUGAUCAAGUCUUUGGCUGAAUCUUUGAAUGUACUUAGCAGCUUUGCUGAAAAUGAUUUGUAAUGUUCCUAGAAUAAUGAUCCUCCCUAUGUCAUGGCUGAAUCAGAAAUAAUGGCGAGAUAUGUGUCCAGUUCAGUUCUGCGUGCUGAAAACACUUUACAUAUGACAUCUACAAAUACGCUGAAAGCUAUGAAUUCAGCCAAGGUCGGAGAUUUAAACAGCCGGGCAUCACGAUAUUUAAGCAUCACAGGCUCAUCUCCGCAAUCCACAAUGCGUCUAUCAUUGUAGUCUGAGCACAGCAAGACUAAUGUCAGUACCUGCAAGGAUUUGGCUCCGCGGAUUAGGUGUAAUUGCAGCCGCGACCAGGUCGCGUCGCGUGGUGCUCUGGUGUGUUCACACCGGGUCCAAAGCUGCGGUCGCAGGACACGGCUGGUCGCUGCUGACCCGCUUCUCCUACCUUCCAUCUCCCUCCUUUUCUCCCUCAUAUAUACAUCCCGCAGCCCAGUUCAAAUAUUUGAACUUUGGUAGCGACGAGACUUGGCGUCCUGCGACCUCGGAAACGCAACUUCGGCAACGCGACGCAGGUAGCCAGCGGUCGCCAAGUCGCGUCAGGUCGCGGCUGUCCAUAGACUUUGCAUUGGGAGCCAUCGCCGACGUCACCGAAGUCGCGUUUGGUCUGAACACCCCUUAACGCUAAGCUUCAUAUUUGGGUAUUGGUUGACUUGAGUUUCUGUGUUUGUUGAACUUGAGUUUGUGACAUGUUUGAACUUGAAUUUGUGGUGUUUUUGAACUUGAGUUUGUGUGUUUGUUGAACUUGAGUUUUAGGCGUGUUUGAACUUGAGUUUGUGUUGUUUUUGAACUUGAGGUUUUGGCAAAUGUUAAACUUGAGAUUUGGGUGUUGGUUGAACUUGAGUUUGUGUCGUAAUUGAACUUGAUUUUUUUGCAAUUUUUGAACUUGAGUUUGUUGAACUUGAGGUUGUGGAAAUUGUUAAACUUGAGAAUUGGGUAUUGAUUGAACUUGAGUUUGUGUGUUUGUUGAACUUGAGUUUGUCUCGUGUUUGAACUUGAGUUUCUGUUGUUUUUGAACUUGAGGUUGUGGCAAUUGUUAAACUUGAGAUUUGGGUGUUGGUUGAACUUGAGUUUGUGUCAUGUUUGAACUUGAGUUUGUGGUGUUUUUGAACUUGAGUAUGUGUGGUUUUUUAACUUAGUUUUGUGGCAAUUGUUAAAC